Molecule: long non-coding RNA, 315 nt
Organism: Alosa sapidissima (American shad)
Lineage: Eukaryota; Metazoa; Chordata; Actinopteri; Clupeiformes; Clupeidae
Exons: 3
Source: RefSeq, a predicted model, not a curated record
AAAAGUAAGUUACUAGCAUACGUCUAGCUUGUUGAAAAUGUGUUUUUUUACAACCUUCAUUUAUUAAUGUGUUUUGUUCUUACAUAGCUCAUGUUACAUCUUCAUACAUUGAAUUACCAGUUUGCAGUAAUGCACUUCAAGCAUAAUACUUAUAGGUCUACAAUACAAUAUACACCUUGUACACACAUAGGCCUACAUAACAUACUUAUGUCAGAUUUGGACAGGUCUAGAAAUACAGUGCUAUAUAACGUAAAUACAAUGUCUGGAAGAAGUGUAGGCCUAUCUGUGUUUGUGCAUGUGUAUAUAUAUGACACA